RNAcentral lists this ribosomal RNA (496 nucleotides) under Hesperophasma sp. SB0526. RNAcentral describes it as "partial large subunit ribosomal RNA". It matches the Rfam family "Bacterial large subunit ribosomal RNA", at positions 1920 to 2621 of the family's 2925-position model. Lineage: Eukaryota; Metazoa; Arthropoda; Insecta; Phasmatodea; Pseudophasmatidae. The record is from RNAcentral.
UAUUUUAAUGGCCGCGGUAUUCUGACCGUGCAAAGGUAGCAUAAUCAUUAGUCUAUUAAUUUUGGACUUGUAUGAAUGGUUGGACGAAAUAUUUACUGUCUCAUAUUUUUUGUAUAAAAUUUAAAUUUUUAGUCAGAAUGCUUAAAUUUAAUUAUUGGACGAGAAGACCCUAUAGAUCUUCAUUUAUUUUUAAUUUUUUAUAUUUAGUUUAUAUUAGUUUAAAAUUUUAUAUUUAAGUUUUAUUGGGGUGAUAUGGAGAUAUAAUUUAACUCUUUAUUUUUAUUUUUAUCAAUUAUUUUUGUAUAUUUGACCUUUUAUUAGUGUUAUAAGAUUUAGAUACCUUAGGGAUAACAGCGUUAUUUUUUUUGAGAGUUCUUAUUGACAAUAAAGAUUGCGACCUCGAUGUUGGAUUAAGAUUAUAUUUAGGUGUAGUUGCUUAAAUUUAUAGGUCUGUUCGACCUUUAAAAUCUUACAUGAUCUGAGUUCAAAACCGGAG